This is a non-coding RNA of Picea glauca (white spruce), 209 nucleotides long. The record is from Rfam. Lineage: Eukaryota; Viridiplantae; Streptophyta; Pinopsida; Pinales; Pinaceae.
GUUUUGGAAAUGCAUUGAAUGCUCAUGUAAUUUGGAAAUAACCUAAUAACAACAGUAAAAACUUAACACCCAUCACACUAUGGGAGCUGACCAUGCCCCAAGUCAUUACCUUAACCGCAAGGAGGGGGAUACCGAAGGUUGGGCUAGUGACUGGAGUGAAUUCGUAACAAGGUAACUGUACUAGAAGGUGCAGUUGAAUCACCUCCUUU